This 199-nucleotide long non-coding RNA is filed under the name Lathyrus oleraceus (garden pea). Its description in RNAcentral is "Pisum sativum (pea) long non-coding RNA (PSAT_LNC038557)". Lineage: Eukaryota; Viridiplantae; Streptophyta; Magnoliopsida; Fabales; Fabaceae. The record is from RNAcentral.
ACGUUCACUGCAACGGUGAAACUUUUGAGUCUGAGCUUCAUGGUUUUUAUUUUCGAAACACUGAUACCAUUAGAAUCACGAUCAAGAGAAAUGCAACCUUUUUGCAUUUGAAAAAAAGAAUACAAUCCUUUAUAGGAUCGGGUAUUGUGUCAAAGAUCACAUAUCAAAAUCCAAUAUUUUUUUAGAAUGGUCAAUGCAA